Molecule: ribosomal RNA, 292 nt
Filed under: uncultured bacterium
Lineage: Bacteria
Description: partial 16S ribosomal RNA
Source: RNAcentral
GGACUACUCGGGUAUCUAAUCCUGUUUGCUCCCCACGCUUUCGCGUCUCAGCGUCAGUAAGUGUCCAGGAAGCCGCCUUCGCCACCGGUGUUCCUCCUGAUAUCUACGAAUUUCACCUCUACACCAGGAAUUCUGCUUCCCUCUCCACCACUCCAGACCAGCAGUUUCGGAUGCAGUUCCUGAGUUGAGCUCAGGGCUUUCACGUCCGACUUGCUGGUCCGCCUACACGCGCUUUACGCCCAGUAAUUCCGAGCAACGUUUGCACCCUCUGUCUUACCGCGGCUGCUGGCAC